This 1819-nucleotide unclassified non-coding RNA is filed under the name Rhopalosiphum maidis (corn leaf aphid). Its description in RNAcentral is "protein held out wings, transcript variant X2". Lineage: Eukaryota; Metazoa; Arthropoda; Insecta; Hemiptera; Aphididae. The record is from RNAcentral.
UCGUCAUCGUGUGCGCAGUCCAAUACGUGUCCGCAGUCCGAGAGAAAUAAGUACUCCCAUCGGUCGUAUUCCGUUUUUCGUUUUUUCCCCUCUCGCCGUACACCUGUUGGUGGAAAAUACAACGCCGACCGAUCACCACCGUCAAUAUAAUUUAUUGUUCAUAUUAUAUUAUAACACGCAUGUGUUUAAUUAUAGAAAUUGUUUAGUAAUAGUAUAAUAUAAAAACCGACGAGUGCGACGCGCGUUUACAGAUAACACGGUUGGUCCGUCUAUAUAGUCCGUAUCAAAACAUUGAAUACCACAUAUACACACACACUCACACACACGCACUCAAACGUAGCAUAAAUCAUCGUGUCAAUAACGCAUUGCGGUGUAGUAUAAUUUGUCGUCGUCACCGUCGUCGCCAUCGUUCAAGUAAAACGCGAAAAAUGUUAACAAGUCUCGUUUGAUAUAUCUACAAGAAGGUAUCUAACCAAACCACUCUUCCGUCACCGAUCUAAUCGUCCGGAGAAAAUCCGUAAACUACCCACCGACCACCAUCACCGGUGUCCUCCACACGUCGUCCAACGACAAAGUUUCCAUGAAAAUGACGGAAAUGAACGCGGUCAACACGCAGAGCAUCGCCGACUAUUUGGCGCAAUUGCUCAAAGACCGCAAACAAAUCACCGCGUUUCCAAACAUGUUCAUGCACGUCGAGCGGCUUAUCGACGAAGAAAUAACCAAAGUCCGGGCCAGCCUAUUCGAAGUGAACGGCGUGAAGAAGGAACCGUUGGUGCUGCCGGAACCAGACGGCGCGCCCGUCACCAUUACCGAAAAAGUGUUUGUGCCGGUUAAGGACCAUCCGGAGUUCAACUUUGUCGGAAGAAUAUUGGGCCCACGAGGUAUGACGGCAAAACAAUUGGAAUUGGAAACCGGAUGCAAGAUUAUGGUUCGAGGAAAGGGUUCAAUGCGUGAUAAGAAAAAGGAGGAACAAAACAGAGGUAAACCCAACUGGGAACAUUUGAGCGAAGAACUACAUGUUUUGAUAUCCGUUGAAGACACUGAAAACCGGGCUAAGCUCAAGUUGAAGAGAGCUAUCGAUGAAGUUAAAAGGCUUCUUGUACCAGCUGAUGGAGAAGAUGAAUUGAAGAAACGCCAACUAAUGGAACUUGCUAUCAUCAACGGAACGUAUAGGGACUCAAACGCUAAAGCCUUAGCAGCAGCAGCUUGCGAUGAGGAAUGGCGUAGGAUGGCUGUUGCAGCAGCUGCUGAGACACAGCGACUUUUGUCGCCACAUGGUAUGGGUGGCCUAGCCACAACUUUGAGACCACAAACUGCCACACCAUUAACUGCGCCACUUAUAUUAUCGCCACGUAUCCCGACUGCCAUUACUACCAGCGGUGGAAAUCCUGGUGCACCUCAGCUAUUGUCUCCAGCUGAACAUCAUCAUCAUGCUGCAGCAGCAGCAGCUGCAGCUGGUCUUAUAUAUACACCAUAUGCUGAUUAUGCCAACUAUGCAUUAGCUGGAUCACCAUUGAUCACAGAAUACACUCCUGCCGAUCACUCGGAAUGUUCGGCCAGAUACAUGCUAAUGGUUCCAGAACUACAAGGGCUCACCUACCGUCACUGGCCAAAUCAACCAGGUGCAGCAGCCGCGGUUGCGGCGGCGGCUCAGGUCGCCAAACAAAGAAGGCAUUUGACUCAGAUCAGGGAUCAUCCGUAUCAGAGGGUUGGCACUUCGAUUGUCAAUUAAAAAAAAAAAAAAAAACCAAAAUUAAAAAAAAAGUUCUUUGAAUCUGAAAGGCUUGCGGAGAUCUAACAUACUGGACCUUUAUUUUAA